CUUAUUGACGUCUGGUAUGAUGAAUUUUGGGUAGAAACUGUCUUAAUAUAUUUUUUAUAAUUUAAUAUGCAAGUGAAAAUACUUGCUUUAAUAUAAAAGACGAGAAGACCCUAGAAACUUAUAUUAUUUUUGUUGGGGCGACAGGAUUACAGUUAACUAGUCUUACUUAACGUGACGUUUAACAGUUAGAAAAAGUUACUCUAGGGAUAACAGCAA
This 216-nucleotide ribosomal RNA is filed under the name Cornu mazzullii. RNAcentral describes it as "Erctella mazzullii partial 16S ribosomal RNA". The record is from RNAcentral. Lineage: Eukaryota; Metazoa; Mollusca; Gastropoda; Stylommatophora; Helicidae.